UCUCUCUCUACCUCAUUCUCUCCACUCUUUAUCCCAACAGUUGGAAAAACCUUAGUCACCAAACCCUUAUUUUCCUCUCUUCCCUGGUUGUCAGUGCUGCUCUGGCCACAGGCGGGAGAGUUAUCUCAAGCGCACCACCAAUAACAGUGUGGAUGUUGCAUAGAGCAGUAGCUCAGUGGCACAAGGAGCGUCGGGCGCUGAAGCAUCGCGAGUCGGAAGGUCAGUGUGCGGUUGCUAAUUGGGUGCCAAUGAGGAGUCGGUAGUGGUGGGAAUGCCUACUGGUGACAAAGGUUGUUGCCGAUGCGAGGGAGUGGCUAUUGGAGUAGGGUUUUGCGAGCGACGUGAGCUCCGCUGUUGCAAUGACAAAUGAUGGGGUAUUUGUGGAAAUUUUUGUAAUGAGUGAAGUUCAACGUGGGAAUGAAUUUACUCAAAAUCAAUACCAAUUUAAUAAUCAUAGCUCUAGGAGCUAAGAUCUCAUCCCAAUUGUUGAAUUAAUCACGAAAUUGAGAAUGAGUGAUAAUAGAGUUAGAGGAGGAAGAAGAAAAUAUAAGCAAAAUAACACUUUAAAAUGCUAGUUGUCGGCCCCACUUCUGGAAUUCCAUUGAGUUGCUAUUGCCUCGUCAUGACAAAUUUGCCACAAUCUGGUGCCAGAGUUUGUUGGUUGUACGAGUUUUGUUUGAUCGCGAUUUGGGGAAAUUUGGUCACGAUCUGGUGCCAGAAAAUUUGGGGUGAGUUUUGUUGUUUGUGUGCAGUUGGUGGUUGUAGUGCAGGCUGUUUGUUUAUUGCGGUAAUCGCUCUGAUUGUGGUAGAACAUGCGGGGAGUGUGAUAGUAGUGGUGACGGUGGUUUGUUAUGGUGGCGGUAAACAGGUAGAGACUGUGUCAUAGUCGAUUUGUUAAAGGUGUUGGUGGUGGUGAUUGUGAUUAUUGUUUGUUGUUGUGGAUUUGAGAUGAAUGUAAUAUUUAUGAUCAUAUAUUUGAGUUGAAGGUAAUAGUGGUGGUACAUUGGGGGUUAUGGUGGUGGUGGAUUAUGGUACUGAUGUGUGAUGGGCCUAGAUUUGUUUUGUGGUGACCCUUUGUGAAAAAUAUGAUUUAUUGCGA
Molecule: long non-coding RNA, 1099 nt
Filed under: Olea europaea subsp. europaea
Lineage: Eukaryota; Viridiplantae; Streptophyta; Magnoliopsida; Lamiales; Oleaceae
Source: RNAcentral